This 386-nucleotide long non-coding RNA is filed under the name Capra hircus (goat). Its description in RNAcentral is "lncRNA (ENSCHIG00000007922.1)". The record is from RNAcentral. Lineage: Eukaryota; Metazoa; Chordata; Mammalia; Artiodactyla; Bovidae.
CUAUUUUCCAUCCUUAUUUUUUAGCCACAGGUCAUGACCCAGAAGAUACAAUAAAUGAGUGAAGUCAGAGCUGAGUCCAGAUUCAUGCCCUGGGUUUGGGAGUAAAUCCUAGUAGCAUUGGCUGUGGGUCAUGGAACUACAGAAUUAUACAGCAGAAAGCAUCUUUCAAGGUCUUCAAAGUUGAGCUUCUUCAUAUUGCAUAUGAGAAAACUAGAAGCAGCAGCAUCACCUGUCCCUCAUGGCUGUUCCCAGGAUCUUCUGGUGAGGGUGGAGCUUCCCUGGUGGCUCAGCAGUAAGUAAUCCGCCUGCAAAGCGGGAGACCUGGGUUGGAUCCCUGGGUUGGGAAGAUUCCCUGGAGGAGGAAAUGGCAACCCACUCAGUAUUCU